RNAcentral lists this transfer RNA (71 nucleotides) under Candidatus Pacearchaeota archaeon CG_4_9_14_0_2_um_filter_39_13. Its description in RNAcentral is "tRNA-Ala". It matches the Rfam family "tRNA". From Rfam's summary of the family: Transfer RNA (tRNA) molecules are approximately 80 nucleotides in length. The record is from RNAcentral. Lineage: Archaea; Nanobdellati. RNAcentral also lists the same sequence under 1 other name.
GGGCCCGUAGUCUAAUGGUAAAAUAGCUCGUUUGCACCGAGCAGCUCCGCGUUCGAUUCGCGGCGGGUCCA